GUGGGGAAUAUUGGACAAUGGGGGGAACCCUGAUCCAGCCAUGCCGCGUGUGUGAAGAAGGCCUUUUGGUUGUAAAGCACUUUAAGCGAGGAGGAGGCUACCGAGAUUAAUACUCUUGGAUAGUGGACGUUACUCGCAGAAUAAGCACCGGCUAACUCUGUGCCAGCAGCCGCGGUAAUACAGAGGGUGCAAGCGUUAAUCGGAUUUACUGGGCGUAAAGCGCGCGUAGGUGGCCAAUUAAGUCAAAUGUGAAAUCCCCGAGCUUAACUUGGGAAUUGCAUUCGAUACUGGUUGGCUAGAGUAUGGGAGAGGAUGGUAGAAUUCCAGGUGUAGCGGUGAAAUGCGUAGAGAUCUGGAGGAAUACCGAUGGCGAAGGCAGCCAUCUGGCCCAAUACUGACACUGAGGUGCGAAAGCAUGGGGAGCAAACAGGAUUAGAAACCCGAGUAGCC
This 450-nucleotide ribosomal RNA is filed under the name uncultured bacterium. RNAcentral's name for it is "partial 16S ribosomal RNA". It matches the Rfam family "Bacterial small subunit ribosomal RNA", at positions 354 to 795 of the family's 1533-position model. The record is from RNAcentral.